RNAcentral lists this ribosomal RNA (477 nucleotides) under uncultured Candidatus Kuenenia sp. RNAcentral's name for it is "bacterial SSU rRNA". It matches the Rfam family "Bacterial small subunit ribosomal RNA", at positions 365 to 832 of the family's 1533-position model. The record is from RNAcentral. Lineage: Bacteria; Pseudomonadati; Planctomycetota; Candidatus Brocadiia; Candidatus Brocadiales; Candidatus Brocadiaceae.
UUCGCAAUGCCCGAAAGGGUGACGAAGCGACGCCGCGUGUGGGAAGAAGGCCUUCGGGUUGUAAACCACUGUCGGGAGUUAGGAAAUGCAGGUGCGUUAAUAGCGCACUUGCUUGACUAAGGCUCCAGAGGAAGCCACGGCUAACUCUGUGCCAGCAGCCGCGGUAAUACAGAGGCGGCAAGCGUUGUUCGGAAUUAUUGGGCGUAAAGAGCACGUAGGCGGCCUUGCAAGUCAGUUGUGAAAGCCUUCCGCUUAACGGAAGAACGGCAUCUGAUACUACAGGGCUUGAGUACGGGAGGGGAGAGUGGAACUUCUGGUGGAGCGGUGAAAUGCGUAGAUAUCAGGAGGAACACCGGCGGCGAAGGCGACUCUCUGGUCCAUAACUGACGCUGAGUGUGCGAAAGCUAGGGGAGCAAACGGGAUUAGAUACCCCGGUAGUCCUAGCCGUAAACGAUGGGCACUAAGUAGAGGGGUUUU